Molecule: ribosomal RNA, 253 nt
Filed under: uncultured bacterium
Lineage: Bacteria
Description: partial 16S ribosomal RNA
Rfam family: Bacterial small subunit ribosomal RNA
Source: RNAcentral
CGGGUGAGUAACACGUAUGCAACCUGCCUGCCACAGCCGGAUAAUCGGGAGAAAUUCCGUCUAAUACGGCAUAAUGCAUCGACGGGACAUCCUGUUGGUGCCAAAGGUUGAUUCCGGUGGCGGAUGGGCAUGCGUCGCAUUAGUUAGUUGGCGGUGUAACGGACCACCAAGACGACGAUGCGUAGGGGUUCUGAGAGGAAGGUCCCCCACACUGGUACUGAGGCACGGACCAGACUCCUACGGAAGGCAGCAG